RNAcentral lists this unclassified non-coding RNA (339 nucleotides) under soil metagenome. RNAcentral describes it as "partial contains 5.8S ribosomal RNA, internal transcribed spacer 2, and large subunit ribosomal RNA". The stretch from base 1 to 120 matches the Rfam family "5.8S ribosomal RNA", at positions 35 to 154 of the family's 154-position model. The record is from RNAcentral.
GAUGAAGAACGUAGCGAAAUGCGAUACGUAGUGUGAAUUGCAGAAUUCAGUGAAUCAUCGAAUCUUUGAACGCACAUUGCACCUCUCGGUAUUCCGGGAGGUAUGCCUGUUCGAGCGUCAUUUGUACCCUCAAGCUCUGCUUGGUGUUGGGUGUUUGUUCCGCCUCUGUGUGUGAACUCGCCUCAAAACAAUUGGCAGCCGGCGUACUUGUUUCGGAGCGCAGCACAUUUUGCGAUCCAGAUCAACGUACAGCGGCAUCCAAGAAGCCUUAUUUAACGCACUUGACCUCGGAUCAGGUAGGGAUACCCGCUGAACUUAAGCAUAUCAAUAAGCGGAGGA